Molecule: ribosomal RNA, 500 nt
Filed under: uncultured bacterium
Lineage: Bacteria
Description: partial 16S ribosomal RNA
Rfam family: Bacterial small subunit ribosomal RNA
Source: RNAcentral
AUUGAACGCUGGCGGCAUGCCUUACACAUGCAAGUCGAACGGCAGCACGGGAGCAAUCCUGGUGGCGAGUGGCGAACGGGUGAGUAAUAUAUCGGAACGUGCCCAGUCGUGGGGGAUAACGCAGCGAAAGCUGUGCUAAUACCGCAUACGAUCUACGGAUGAAAGCGGGGGAUCGCAAGACCUCGCGCGAUUGGAGCGGCCGAUAUCAGAUUAGCUAGUUGGUGAGGUAAAGGCUCACCAAGGCGACGAUCUGUAGCUGGUCUGAGAGGACGACCAGCCACACUGGAACUGAGACACGGUCCAGACUCCUACGGGAGGCAGCAGUGGGGAAUUUUGGACAAUGGGAGCAAGCCUGAUCCAGCAAUGCCGCGUGCAGGAUGAAGGCCUUCGGGUUGUAAACUGCUUUUGUACGGAACGAAACGGUGAGCUCUAAUACAGUUUGCUAAUGGCGGUACCGUAAGAAUAAGCACCGGCUAACUACGUGCCAGCCGCCGCCGUAA